AGCGGCGGACGGGUGAGUAACGCGUGGGUAACCUGCCUCAUACACGUGGAUAACAUACCGAAAGGUAUGCUAAUACAAGAUAAUAUAAGAGAUUCGCAUGGGUCUCUUAUCAAAGCUCCGGCGGUAUGAGAUGGACCCGCGUCUGAUUAGCUAGUUGGUAAGGUAACGGCUUACCAAGGCGACGAUCUGUAGCCGACCUGAGAGGGUGAUCGGCCACAUUGGAACUGAGACACGGUCCAAACUCCUACGGGAGGCAGCAGUGGGGAAUAUUGCACAAUGGGCGAAAGUCUGAUGCAGCAACGCCGCGUGAGCGAUGAAGGCCUUCGGGUCGUAAAGCUCUGUCCUCAAGGAAGAUAAUGACGGUACUUGAGGAGGAAGCCCCGGCUAACUACGUGCCAGCAGCCGCGGUAAUACGUAGGGGGCUAGCGUUAUCCGGAUUUACUGGGCGUAAAGGGUGCGUAGGUGGUUUCUUAAGUCAGGAGUGAAAGGCUACGGCUCAACCGUAGUAAGCUCUUGAAACUGGGAAACUUGAGUGCAGGAGAGGAAAGUGGAAUUCCUAGUGUAGCGGUGAAAUGCGUAGAUAUUAGGAGGAACACCAGUAGCGAAGGCGGCUUUCUGGACUGUAACUGACACUGAGGCACGAAAGCGUGGGGAGCAAACAGGAUUAGAUACCCUGGUAGUCCACGCCGUAAACGAUGAGUACUAGGUGU
RNAcentral lists this ribosomal RNA (710 nucleotides) under uncultured bacterium. RNAcentral describes it as "bacterial SSU rRNA". It matches the Rfam family "Bacterial small subunit ribosomal RNA", at positions 94 to 823 of the family's 1533-position model. The record is from RNAcentral.